UACGUAGGGACCGAGCGUUGUCCGGAAUCAUUGGGCGUAAAGAGCGUGUAGGCGGCCACUUAAGUCCUGCGUGAAAUCUUGCGGCUCAACCGCAAGCGGUCGUGGGAAACUGGGUGGCUAGAGUGCGGGAGAGGAGAGUGGAAUUCCAGGUGUAGCGGUGAAAUGCGUAGAUAUCUGGAGGAACACCGGUGGCGAAGGCGGCAUCCUGGACCGAUAUUGACGCUGAGGCGCGAAAGCCAGGGGAGCAAACGGG
This 253-nucleotide ribosomal RNA is filed under the name uncultured bacterium. Its description in RNAcentral is "partial 16S ribosomal RNA". It matches the Rfam family "Bacterial small subunit ribosomal RNA", at positions 524 to 776 of the family's 1533-position model. The record is from RNAcentral.